Long non-coding RNA from Lacerta agilis (Sand lizard), 421 nucleotides. RefSeq lists it as uncharacterized. Lineage: Eukaryota; Metazoa; Chordata; Lepidosauria; Squamata; Lacertidae. The record is from RefSeq and is a predicted model, not a curated record. The transcript has 3 exons.
UGUAUAUAAAACCAGCAUAGGCUGGAGACACUGAAGCAGAAUGUUUAGAAGGCCGAUGUUUUAAAUUUGGUUAAGGACGGAAGCUGUUGAAAACAACCAUGUCUGGAAAGCAGCCAUGUUUUAAGGGCUUCGCUCAACAAGCUGAAGGGACCGUGCAGGAUGCUGUAAACAAGGUGGGACAGGCCACGCAGCAAGUUGUGGACCAAGCUACCCAGGCGGGUCAGAAAGCUGUGGACCAAGUGUACAAGGCAGCUCAAGGUGGUGUGACCGACCUCGAGAAAAAGAUUGGACUCAAGAAAUGAUGGCCAUCGUGAUAUUGAAAUCAGACCAAAGAAUGUUUGGCACCCUCAGAUUCACACUUCCCUCUUCCAUUCUGUCGUAAUCCUUAUCCUUGUGGAAAACAAGAAACAUAUUCCCUCCA